AUUGAACGCUGGCGGAAUGCUUUACACAUGCAAGUCGAACGGCAGCACGGGGCAACCUGGUGGCGAGUGGCGAACGGGUGAGUAAUACAUCGGAACGUGCCCAAUCGUGGGGGAUAACGUAGCGAAAGUUACGCUAAUACCGCAUACGAUCUACGGAUGAAAGCGGGGGAUCGCAAGACCUCGCGCGAGUGGAGCGGCCGAUGUCAGAUUAGGUAGUUGGUGGGGUAAAGGCUCACCAAGCCAACGAUCUGUAGCUGGUCUGAGAGGACGACCAGCCACACUGGAACUGAGACACGGUCCAGACUCCUACGGGAGGCAGCAGUGGGGAAUUUUGGACAAUGGGCGCAAGCCUGAUCCAGCCAUUCCGCGUGCAGGAUGAAGGCCUUCGGUUGUAACUAGCUUUGUACGGUAACGAAACGGACGAGCUCUAAUACAGUUGCUAAGGACAGUACCUUCUACGAAUAAGACCUCGGCUAACUACGUAGCCAGCAGCC
Molecule: ribosomal RNA, 494 nt
Filed under: uncultured bacterium
Lineage: Bacteria
Description: bacterial SSU rRNA
Rfam family: Bacterial small subunit ribosomal RNA
Source: RNAcentral